GAUGAACGCUGGCGGCGUGCCUAAUACAUGCAAGUCGAGCGAACAGACGAGGGGCUUGCUCCUCUGACGUUAGCGGCGGACGGGUGAGUAACACGUGGAUAACCUACCUAUAAGACUGGGAUAACUUCGGGAAACCGGAGCUAAUACCGGAUAAUAUAUUGAACCGCAUGGUUCAAUAGUGAAAGACGGUUUUGCUGUCACUUAUAGAUGGAUCCGCGCCGCAUUGGCUAGUUGGUAAGGUAACGGCUUACCAAGGCAACGAUGCGUAGCCGACCUGAGAGGGUGAUCGGCCGCACUGGAACUGAGACACGGUCCAGACUCCUACGGGAGGCAGCAGUAGGGAAUCUUCCGCAAUGGGCGAAAGCCUGACGGAGCAACGCCGCGUGAGUGAUGAAGGUCUUCGGAUCGUAAAACUCUGUUAUUAGGGAAGAACAAAUGUGUAAGUAACUAUGCACGUCUUGACGGUACCUAAUCAGAAAGCCACGGCUAACUACGUG
This 497-nucleotide ribosomal RNA is filed under the name uncultured bacterium. RNAcentral describes it as "partial 16S ribosomal RNA". It matches the Rfam family "Bacterial small subunit ribosomal RNA", at positions 28 to 507 of the family's 1533-position model. The record is from RNAcentral.